This is a long non-coding RNA of Meriones unguiculatus (Mongolian gerbil), 563 nucleotides long. RefSeq lists it as uncharacterized. Lineage: Eukaryota; Metazoa; Chordata; Mammalia; Rodentia; Muridae. The transcript is spliced from 3 exons. The record is from RefSeq and is a predicted model, not a curated record.
CCCCAAGUGCUAAUUUACAUUACAUGGCAACCAAAUCAGCUUGGAGGACAGCAGAGCCAGGCUGUGGCCUGCUGUGGGCAGCAGUCCUCGCUCGGUUCGGCCAACCUCCCCGUGGCCCUGGAUCCACCUCCCUCCGGCCUUUGAAAAUUCUUCAGCAGAGACAUCAUUACCCUAGCAUGGCAUCGAGGGGCCCCACAGUGAAAGGUCCUGUUUGCCAGGUAAAGUAGCCCAGCGGAGCCUGGUGAAGGUCUGCCCUCCCGCAAUCUCGCACCUGCCUCCUGCCCAGCCCAGCCCUCCAAAGGUAGUAUGAGGAAGAAGUGACUUGGAGAGACAGGACUCCGGCUGAAGGGAAAACACACACCUAAAGGUCUAAAUGUGACUCAGCUGAAAAGUUGUCAACAGAUGACUGUGUUCCAGGAACCACAGACAAGCAGGAACCAACAUCGGCGUGAAGAGUUCUCUGUUUUCAUCCCACAAAACAUCUAACAGAGUUGACAGAGCUAAUGACUCUGCGCUGUGCUUUGUGGGAAUUCAAUAGUAACUCGAGAGCGGUUUUUAAAUAA